Molecule: non-coding RNA, 1454 nt
Organism: Xyrichtys novacula (pearly razorfish)
Lineage: Eukaryota; Metazoa; Chordata; Actinopteri; Labriformes; Labridae
Source: the annotation of a GenBank genome assembly
CAUGAUUUGACUUUUUAUUUAGCGCUUCGUUUUUCAACUUAGUAUUUAGAUUUAUGUCAUUUUAAUCAUUUAGAUUUAAAUUUUAAGUCAUAUUUUGACCUUUCAAACUUAUGAUUUAAAUUUUCCUCUCAUGUAUUUGCUCUAUUUUUAUUCUGAUUUUUUGAACUAAUCUAGUGGAUCUUUUUUAAAAUCUCAGAUUGCCUUUAAAUUUAUCUUUCGUACUUUUUGAAUUUCCAAGUGGUUUAUAAUCGUCGCUGAUUUUGUUAUAUAUUUUGAAAAGGAGGCCGACAGUUUGGGUGAAAUGUUGACCCUGUUGGGCCCUCAGGUUAGAUUUAAAUCCAGAUUAUGGCCCUUGCUGUGGUUGAGUUUGACACUCCUGCUCUGAAAGCUCAUGGAGAGAAUGCCAAGAGUGUUUAAAGCAGUCAUCAGAGCAAAGGGUGAAGUACAUAACUCCACAUGUGUUCAUUCAUAGUUUUGAGGCCUUCAGUGAGAAUCUACAAAGUAAAUAGUCGUGAAAAUAAAGAAUCGAAUGAGAAGGUGACUCCAAACUUUUGGCCGGUACUGAAUCUGGUAAAAGAACUAAAGAAGAAGCACAGACACCUGCACUGACAUUAGGAAUCUUCCCGCCUCGAGACGCAGGUACAGGUAUUAAAAGUCACUGUUGCACUCUUGUGUCCCUUAAAUAUGCAGUAAUAAAAGUUAAAGUGACUUUAUUUUUGCAGCCACUUACGCCAUCAAGGCGAUGUUGCAACAGAGCAGGAAGAUUAAAAUUUGAUUAAUGAACAAGUUUAUAACCGUAGAAGAAGAGGAGUGGAUACAGCUGUUCCUGCCAAAAUGUUUUCAGGUCAGAGGAGGUAGUAAAGCCGUCUUUAGAUGUCAUAAUUCUGUGUGCGUGUGUGUGUGUGUGCGCACAGUCUGAACCUUUGCUCUGCUUGAACCUGUGCAGGGCAGUUGAGUGUGGACGCUGCUAGAUGAGUAUUUGGUCAGAUCUCGUGUGUGGGAGUUUGGACAGGUGCAGUGACGAUAAAUGCAGCAGAGAGCCGAAGUUCUGGAAGAGGAAUCAAACAAACAAAGUUAAAUAACUUCAGAGUUUAUCUUCGUGCAGAAGGACACGGUCUGCAUUUUUAACUCUUUAACGGAGAGUUCAGGUUUAAACUCACGGUUCACCUCAACAAAAACAGAGAAAUCAGUUUGACUGAAUACUAGUUUUCUGUCGUUUUGCACAAAUAUGAAAUGGUGUCGACAUAAUAAGCCAAAACUUGUCUUAGACAUGAUAGAUUAGCUUCAAUUAAAUAACCUUCAAUGUCUGGAAAUGAGAUUUACUAAGACAGGACUGAGAGACGAGGUUUCUAGGGCGUAUCUUGGUGUUUUAGUGCAAUAUAAUAAACAUUGUAAAUAGAAUUCAAGCUAAAUGUAAGAACUGAGAACAGGGUAGAGCUCUCUUUGCCAAAAAA